This 251-nucleotide ribosomal RNA is filed under the name uncultured bacterium. RNAcentral describes it as "partial 16S ribosomal RNA". It matches the Rfam family "Bacterial small subunit ribosomal RNA", at positions 526 to 776 of the family's 1533-position model. The record is from RNAcentral.
CGUAGGGGGCAAGCGUUGUCCGGAUUUAUUGGGCGUAAAGGGCUCGUAGGCGGUUUGUCACGUCAGGGGUGAAAACUCGGGGCUCAACCCCGAGCCUGCUUCUGAUACGGGCAGACUAGAGGUAUGCAGGGGAGAACGGAAUUCCUGGUGUAGCGGUGAAAUGCGCAGAUAUCAGGAGGAACACCGGUGGCGAAGGCGGUUCUCUGGGCAUUACCUGACGCUGAGGAGCGAAAGUGUGGGGAGCGAACAGG